AUGUUAAUCGGGGGGGAUUUUAAUAUCCUUCGAUAUCAGCAGGUAAAAAACAACGAUCGGUUUGACACUAGGUGGCCUUUCCUCUUUAAUGCUGUUAUUGACAGUCUCGAUCUGAGGGAGAUCACGAUGUUUGGUCGUCAGUAUACCUGGGCCAACAACCGUUCGGUGCUGACCUUUGAAAAACUGGACCGGGUGCUAGUUACCACUGACUGGGAAUACAAAUAUCCCCUAGCAUCGGUUCGGGCACUAGAAAGAAUUGAGGCCUUAUCGGAUCAUGCUCCGUUGCUAACCUAUUUUGGACAACCAAUCCCGAGUUCUAAUCGCCACCAGUUUAAAUUUGAACUGGGAUGGCUCACUAGAGAGGGAUUUCAGGUGCUAGUUAAGAAAGUGUGGGCACGCCAGCCCCGCGGUAACACACCCAUCCAAAGAUGGAAUAAUCGAAUCCGCGCCUUGCGUCGAUUCCUUCGAGGAUGGGCCAAGCAUACUACUGGCAUUUACAAAAAAGAAAAGUUGUGUUUAUCUACCCUAAUUGAUUCCCUUGACAAAAUAGCGAAGGUGAGGCCUCUGUCUGCUGUUGAGAUCGAGCAAAAAAGCAAUCUUAACGAGCAGAUUGCCCGCCUACUACGUGAGGAGGAGAUUAAAUGGUACCAACGUAGCAAGGCGGAUUCGUUAGUGCAAGGUGAUGAUAAUACGAAAUACUUUCAGAUGCUAGCCAAUGGCAGACAUAGAAAGAAGCAUAUAUUCUCAGUU
This 750-nucleotide ribosomal RNA is filed under the name Triticum aestivum (bread wheat). Its description in RNAcentral is "partial small subunit ribosomal RNA". Lineage: Eukaryota; Viridiplantae; Streptophyta; Magnoliopsida; Poales; Poaceae. The record is from RNAcentral.